CUUCUAAUAUGAUAGAAGCACAGCUCAGAGUAGGGGCUGCAAGAGGUCUAGUUAAAUUUCUGCUAUGAAACUGCCCUCAAUGUUUCAAGAAGACAUCACCAGUGGUGAUCCAUAUCCAUUCCUAUGCGACUUUUGCCAUCUCCAUGCAGUCUUCAAGCUCUGCUGGAGAUCAAUGUGCUGUGCUGUCCAGUUCAGCUCAAGCCUAAUCUUUGUUGGGUCACUGAAAACUUCAGCAUAGUCACCAGGUCGGCGAGGUAAAUAGUCAACUUAUCGACUUUGAUGUUCACACCGGUUGCCUUCUUACAUGCCUCCACAAAUUCCUUGACAGAACUACCUUUUCCAGUGCCAACGUUGUAGAUCCCAACUUUACCAGGCAUUGACUUUUCAAGGGCUUUCACGUGAGCAUCAACAAGAUCAGUAACAUCAAUAUAAUCUCGAAUACAAGUGCCAUCAUGUGUCUUGUAAUCUGUUCCUUUAACCUUCAAGCCAGGAACAAUACCGCGAGCUGCAUCAAAACAAGCACCAGAAAUUCUCCCAUGCUCACGCAGUUCGGGUCUGGGAGCCUCACCCAGUCUGCCAUCUGGAUCUGAACCAAUCACAUUGAAGUAUCUUAGAAUCAUAACUGCCAUGUCAGAAUUUUUAGA
This 644-nucleotide unclassified non-coding RNA is filed under the name Hevea brasiliensis (rubber tree). The record is from RNAcentral. Lineage: Eukaryota; Viridiplantae; Streptophyta; Magnoliopsida; Malpighiales; Euphorbiaceae.